Molecule: ribosomal RNA, 433 nt
Filed under: uncultured bacterium
Lineage: Bacteria
Description: partial 16S ribosomal RNA
Rfam family: Bacterial small subunit ribosomal RNA
Source: RNAcentral
AGCGAACGCUGGCGGCAGGCCUAACACAUGCAAGUCGAACGAACCUUUCGGGGUUAGUGGCGGACGGGUGAGUACCACGUGGGAACGUGCCUUUAGGUUCGGAAUAACUCAGGGAAACUUGUGCUAAUACCGAAUGUGCCCUUCGGGGGAAAGAUUUUUCGCCUUUGGAGCGGCCCGCGUCUGAUUAGCUGGUUGGUAGAGGUAAUGGCUCACCAAGGCGACGAUCAGUAGCUGGUCUGAGAGGAGGAUCAGCCACAUUGGGACUGUGACACGGCCCAAACUCCUACGGGAGGCAGCAGUGGGGAAUCUUGCGCAAUGGGCGAAAGCCUGACGCAGCCAUGCCGCGUGAAUGAUGAAGGGCUUAGGAUUGUAAAAUUCUUUCGCCGGGGACGAUAAUGACGGUACCCGGAGAAGAAGCCCGGGCUAACUUCGU